Molecule: transfer RNA, 71 nt
Filed under: Camponotus concavus
Lineage: Eukaryota; Metazoa; Arthropoda; Insecta; Hymenoptera; Formicidae
Description: tRNA-Arg
Source: RNAcentral
UUUUUAUAGUAUAAACAAUACAUUUAAUUUCGACUUAAAAAAUGACCUUAAAAUCUAAAUUUAAUUGAAAC